GAUGAACGCUGGCGGCGUGCUUAACACAUGCAAGUCGAACGGUGAGGGCUAUCUUGCGUGGCGGAUUAGUGGCGAACGCGUGAGUAACACCUGAGUAACGGGCCCUUACCACUGGGAUAGGCCGCUAAAACCCCGUCUACUACGGGGCAGAAGCGUCAACCGCACGGUGGGGGUGCUUGCGUUUUAUCGGUCAUGGAGGGACGCGCGGCCUAUCAACGUGUUGGUGCGGUAAUGGCUCACCAAGGCGACGACGGGUAGCCGGGCUGAGAGGGUGACCGGCCACACUGGGACGGAGACACGGCCCAGACUACUACGGGAGGCAGCAGUGGGGAAUAAUGCACAAUGGGCGGAAGCCUGAUGCAGCGACGCCGCGUGAGGGAUGACGGCCUUCGGGUUGUAGACCUCUUUCAGUAGGGAAGAAGCGAAAGUGACGGUACCUGCAGAAGAAGCACCGGCUAACUACGUG
This 466-nucleotide ribosomal RNA is filed under the name uncultured bacterium. RNAcentral describes it as "partial 16S ribosomal RNA". It matches the Rfam family "Bacterial small subunit ribosomal RNA", at positions 28 to 507 of the family's 1533-position model. The record is from RNAcentral.